UGGGGAAUAUUGGACAAUGGGCGAAAGCCUGAUCCAGCCAUGCCGCGUGUGUGAAGAAGGUCUUCGGAUUGUAAAGCACUUUAAGUUGGGAGGAAGGGCAUUAACCUAAUACGUUAGUGUUUUGACGUUACCGACAGAAUAAGCACCGGCUAACUCUGUGCCAGCAGCCGCGGUAAUACAGAGGGUGCAAGCGUUAAUCGGAAUUACUGGGCGUAAAGCGCGCGUAGGUGAUUUGUUAAGUUGAAUGUGAAAUCCCCGGGCUCAACCUGGGAACUGCAUUCAAAACUGACUGACUAGAGUAUGGUAGAGGGUGGUGGAAUUUCCUGUGUAGCGGUGAAAUGCGUAGAUAUAGGAAGGAACACCAGUGGCGAAGGCGACCACCUGGACUAAUACUGACACUGAGGUGCGAAAGCGUGGGGAGCAAACA
RNAcentral lists this ribosomal RNA (427 nucleotides) under uncultured bacterium. Its description in RNAcentral is "partial 16S ribosomal RNA". It matches the Rfam family "Bacterial small subunit ribosomal RNA", at positions 355 to 774 of the family's 1533-position model. The record is from RNAcentral.